RNAcentral lists this ribosomal RNA (217 nucleotides) under Aedes arborealis. RNAcentral's name for it is "partial 16S ribosomal RNA". Lineage: Eukaryota; Metazoa; Arthropoda; Insecta; Diptera; Culicidae. The record is from RNAcentral.
GAUCUUUAUUUUUUAUUUAAUAUAAAUUAAAAAGAAUUAUUAAAUUUAUAUUGAAUAAAAAAUUUUAUUGGGGUGAUAUUAAAAUUUAAAUAACUUUUAUUAUUUUUUUACAUUAAUAUAUGAAUAUUUGAUCCAAUAAUAUUGAUUAAAAAUUUAAGUUACCUUAGGGAUAACAGCGUAAUUUUUUUUUAGAGUUCUUAUCAACAAAAAAGAUUGC